Non-coding RNA from Acyrthosiphon pisum (pea aphid), 2242 nucleotides. Lineage: Eukaryota; Metazoa; Arthropoda; Insecta; Hemiptera; Aphididae. The record is from Rfam.
CGACCUCAGAUCAGGCGGGACUACCCGCCGGAUUUAAGCAUAUUAAUAAGCGGAGGAAAAGAAAACAACCGUGAUUCCCUUAGUAGCGGCGAGCGAACCGGGAAAAGCCCAUCGCCGAAUCUCGCCGCGCACUUUUGUGUCGCGGCACGUAUGAGAGUUGUGGCGUACGGGCCGGCCUCGUUGCCGGGGCGCACGUGACGGUCCAAGUCUCCCUUGAACGGGGCCAUGGCCCGCAGAUGGUGCCAGGCCAGUAGAGGCCGUCACAGCGUUCCGGGAUCGGACCGCGCCUUCGAGUCGGGUUGCUUGAGAGUGCAGCCCGAAAGCGGGUGGUAAACUCCAUCUAAGGCUAAAUACGGCCACGAGACCGAUAGUUUACAAGUACCGUGAGGGAAAGUUGAAAAGAACUUUGAAGAGAGAGUUCAUAAGAACGUGAAACCGCUCGGUUGUAAACGGACAGAGCUCGCGAAUCCCCGCCGGGCGAAUUCACGGUCGGUCUAACCGCCGGCCGGAUCUUUCGCUCGGUUAGCGGACGUCGCGACCCGUUGGGCGCCGGCCGAAUGGCCCGGGUGACGUUCGUCGCGUCGGUCGCGUUUCGGCGUGACCGUUCGCGCCGAGCCCCGGUGCUCAUGGUCGGCUCGCCCGACGGCAAGAACCGUCGACGCGGCCCCGUCGCAGGCGGGGUCCCGUCGGUCGGCGACGUGUUUCGAGCUACUUUCCGACCCGUCUUGAAACACGGACCAAGGAGUCUAACGUGUGCGCGAGUCAACGGUGAUCUUACGAAAAACCACGUUUGGCGCAAUGAAAGUGAACCGUUUACGGUGCGGACGAUGGCCUAGCGACCGAACCCACCGGCGUUCAAAGUCGCGCUGGUCCGCAGUCCGGGGGCGUCUCCGCCAAGUCGGCUUCGGCCGGCUGGGGGCGCACCCUUAGCGCACACGUUGGUACCCGAAAGAUGGUGAACUAUGCCUGGCCAGGAUGAAGUCAGGGGAAACCCUGAUGGAGGUCCGCAGCGAUUCUGACGUGCAAAUCGAUCGUCUGAGCUGGGUAUAGGGGCGAAAGACUAAUCGAACCAUCUAGUAGCUGGUUCCAUCCGAAGUUUCCCUCAGGAUAGCUGGCGCCGAUGUGUCCCGCCCGUUCGCGGGCGUACGGACGCCGGUGGGACUCCGCGCUGUACGGCGCGGUAACAACACGCUCGUAACACGGAGGAUGUCUCAUACGGUAAAGCGAAUGAUUAGAGGACAUUGGGGCCGAAACGACCUCAACCUAUUCUCAAACUAUAAAUGAGUGAGAUCGCCGGCUUUACCUGGUACACCGCGUGAACCGCGUGCGAAGCCGGCGACGGAACCCUAGGCGCUUAGUGGGCCAUUUUUGGUAAGCAGAACUGGCGCUGCGGGAUGAACCCGAACGCCGAGUUAAGGCGCCGAAAUCGACGCGUAUUCAGAGACCAUGAAAGGCGUUGGUUGCUGAUGACAGCAGGACGGUGGCCAUGGAAGUCGGAAUCCGCUAAGGAGUGUGUAACAACUCACCUGCCGAAGCAACUAGCUCUGAAAAUGGAUGGCGCUGGAGCGUCGUGCCUAUACUCGGCCGUCGACGGCAUAGUGGGGCCAGUCGUCGCUCGCGGCGGCCGGUCCCGGCAAGCCUCGACGAGUAGGAUGGCGCGGCGGUGUGCGUCGAAGGGCAGGUCGCGAGACCGCCUGGAGCCGCCGUCGGUGCAGAUCUUGGUGGUAGUAGCAAAUACUCGAGAGGGGCCCUCGGGGGCUGCCGUGGAGAAGGGUUUCUUGUGAACAGCCGUUGUCCAAGAGUCAGUCGAUCCUAAGCCCGGGGAGAGAUCCUCGUACCACGGGCGAAGGCGUUUUCGAAUCGCCCUUGGGGCGAGAGGGAAUCCGGUUCGUAUUCCGGAACCCGACGCGGAACCGCUCCCUAGUGUUCGGGGCUCUUUUGUCUCGUCUGGGUAACCAGAAUGAACUCGAAGAAGCCGCCGGGGGAUCUGGGUAGAGUUCUCUUUUCUCUGUGAGCGUUGUACGUCCCUGGAAUCCUCUAGCCGGGCGAUAGGGACGCGAGCGCGAAGAGCACCGCUCGUUGCGGCGGUGUCCGUGAUCCCCACGCGGACCUUGAAAAUUCGAGAGAGGGCCACGCGGAGUCUUCGCGUCGGUUCGUACCGAUAUCCGCAGCAGGUCUCCGAGGUGAGCAGCCUCUAGCCGCAUAGAAUAAUGUAGGUAAGGGAAGUCGGCAAAACCGAUCC